RNAcentral lists this non-coding RNA (30 nucleotides) under Mus musculus (house mouse). Lineage: Eukaryota; Metazoa; Chordata; Mammalia; Rodentia; Muridae. The record is from RNAcentral.
UGGUCAUAGAAAGUAUCUGAAAUAGUUCUU